GUGCUCGCUUCGGCAGCUCAUAUACUAAAAUUGGAACGAUACAGAGAAGAUUAGCAUGGCCCCUGCACAAGGAUGACAGACAAAUUCAUGACGUGUUCCAUUUUUUU
RNAcentral lists this small nuclear RNA (107 nucleotides) under Physeter macrocephalus (sperm whale). Lineage: Eukaryota; Metazoa; Chordata; Mammalia; Artiodactyla; Physeteridae. The record is from RNAcentral.